GCGGGUAUAGUUUAGUGGUAAAACCUAGCCUUCCAAGCUAACGAUGCGGGUUCGAUUCCCGCU
Molecule: transfer RNA, 63 nt
Filed under: Senecio scandens
Lineage: Eukaryota; Viridiplantae; Streptophyta; Magnoliopsida; Asterales; Asteraceae
Also listed under: 1 other name
Description: tRNA-Gly
Rfam family: tRNA
About the family: Transfer RNA (tRNA) molecules are approximately 80 nucleotides in length.
Source: RNAcentral